CCUACGGGAGGCAGCAGUGGGGGAUAUUGCACAAUGGGGGGAACCCUGAUGCAGCGACGCCGCGUGGGUGAAGGAGUGCUUCGGCAUGUAAAGCCCUAUCGGCAGGGAAGUAAAUGACGGUACCCAAAGAGGAAGCUCCGGCUAACUACGUGACAGCAGCCGAGGUAAUACGUAGGGAGCGUGCGUUGUCCGGAAUUACUGGGGGUAAAGGGAGCGUAGGCGGGCGAGAAAGUUGAAUGUUAAAUCUACCGGCUAAACUGGUAGAUGCGUUCAAAAAUGUUUGUCUUGAGUGAAGUAGAGGCAGGCGGAAUUCCUGGUGUAGCGGUGAAAUGCGUAGAUAUUAGGAGGAACACCAGUGGCGAAGGCGGCCUGCUGGGCUUUAACUGACGCUGAGGCUCGAAGGCGUGGGGAGCAAACAGGAUUAGAUACCCUAGUAGUC
Molecule: ribosomal RNA, 439 nt
Filed under: uncultured bacterium
Lineage: Bacteria
Description: partial 16S ribosomal RNA
Rfam family: Bacterial small subunit ribosomal RNA
Source: RNAcentral